GCAGGAUGCUGACGCUCUCCAGGUUGCCCUUCAUGGCGGCCCAGCUGAGCGGCGUGUCGUCGUUGUAGUCGCGGGCGUUCACCAGGGCGCCGUUCUCCAGCAGUGAGCGCACACACUCAGCCGUGUUCUUGAAGGCCGCCCAGUGCAGCGGCGUGUCCUUGUUGCCGUCCAGCGCGUUGGGGUCGGCUCCGUACUCCAGCAGGAUCUCCACGCAGGUCUCGUCCUUCUCAGCCGCGUAGUGCAGGGCCGUGCGGUUGUAGCCGUCCAAGGCGUUGACCUCUGCUCCCUUCUGCAGCAGCAGCUCCACGCAGUCGGCAUCAGCCACCAUGCAGGCGCAGUGCAGCGGCUUCAGAGUGCCGUGCAUGCAGUUCACAUCCGCGCCCCGUCCGAUCAGAUCCUCCACGUUGUCCCUCGGAAAGGAGCGGAUGGCGGCGAUGGUGCGGAUGAGGCGCUCGGACAGCGAGUAUUUGCUCUGCACGCUCUGCAUGAUGUACCACAUCCUGCGGGCCGCCCGCCCGCCACCGCCGCCGCCGCCGCCGCCCCGCCAGGCCCGGCCCGGCCCCCAAACCCCGAGCGGUGCCGGGGCGGGGUGGGACGACGAGAAGUGGGUACCGGAGGAGGGAAGAGUCUGUACGGAGUACGUGCAGCCGGGGCACAGCGAGGUCCUGGAACGGGGAAGGGGCCCGGGGCC
This 691-nucleotide long non-coding RNA is filed under the name Gallus gallus (chicken). Lineage: Eukaryota; Metazoa; Chordata; Aves; Galliformes; Phasianidae. The record is from RNAcentral.